UCUCACGCUUUGUUGCGCUGUUUUCACAGUUUUGUGGUUGCCAUCAAGGUUGGCUUUUGUCUUUUAAAUACAGUUCUUCGUUGGGAGUCUUCCCUCUCCUUCAUCGGACUCGAUCGGUCCUGGGUAUUUCUCUCACGUGUCUCCUCGCGUGUGCCGCAGCGGAGACCGAUCAGCUGUGACCGAUCAGCUGUGACCUGUCACGUCGUGGCUGAGCCACUGUGGCUUGGGUGUUUCUCCUCCUCACCUGUGUGACGCUCAUUCAACUCCGACGGUUAAAUAUGUGUGCGAUCGGCGUCUGCCAGCACUAACUCUCCCACGUGAUUGCUGUCGGCUGGCUGCUGUUUUGCCUGUUGUUUUGUGUGGCUGUGAGAACCCAAUCAUCCGGCCUGCAUCCAACGCUAACCCAUCGACUGUGCUGUUCCGGCAGUAAAUUGGUUAAUGUUUUCUUACCCUGGUGCCCCAUGUAUGUGUAACCAGGUGUAAGAAGCACAGACAGUUAAAUGAGUACAAUAAAAGGAGAGAGAGAGUGUUUAUUCUCUUUUUCUUUAUUUGAUUACAUUGAAGUGUUAAAAGUGUUAAAAGUCCCAUUGUAUUUGAAUGCACCACUCAGUUCACGCAACUCCAGGUGGGGGGUACCUAGCCUUCCACGGCCAAUCAGAGGCUACGCAGGUUACGCUCAGCCUGUUGGAUUAGAGAAGGAGUGCAAGCGCGUUGUUCAUCCGUUCUUUUCUGAAGCGAGGGCACCUACAUGCUAAGAAGAAGAGGAAAACAGGAGAAAAACCCGGAGUUUACCUGUGAAAAGGAGAAAGAGAGAGUCGGAGCACUUACCCUCUGGAGGUUCGAAGUCGAGUGACUACACGAAGGAGAGAAGUUACGUCGGCUAACAACUUAACUUCCAUCGGGAUAGCUGCUGCGAGGUCUGACAUCGGCGUGAGCCGCCUUAAUACACAGAGCAACGGUCAGGUUUUUUUAGGAGGACGGAAAAGCCUGAGGAUCGGGACAAGCUUCCGUCCGUAAUAGAUGGCGAGCCAACUACCUUGAAGAAAGAUCAGCACCGAGAGGAUCCACGUACACACUCAUUUACACACACACACUACACAUUUACAUUACAUUACAAGGAUCUUGGAAUCAGGUGAACCUGCUAUGACUCUACAGAAAUAAACCUGCAACCAUCAUAUUUUGUUCAAGGGCCCCAACGGACAAUUUUAGUGUGCACACUACCUUUUUUUUAUUUUCCUGACAGUUGGGUUAUUGUUUUGUAUGUUGUGCAAGCCAAACAAAUUAUUUCAUUCUCUGUAAAUAAUUAUAUGAGUGGCUACUCAACGGUUAUACCUGUGUCUGCCUCAUUAUUGUUGCUCAGUACAGUGGCUCCUUUUC
Long non-coding RNA from Seriola aureovittata, 1377 nucleotides. RefSeq lists it as uncharacterized. The record is from RefSeq and is a predicted model, not a curated record. The transcript has 4 exons. Lineage: Eukaryota; Metazoa; Chordata; Actinopteri; Carangiformes; Carangidae.